AUUGAACGCUGGCGGCAGGCUUAACACAUGCAAGUCGAACGAGUGGCGGACGGGUGAGUAAUGCUUGGGAAUCUAGCUUAUGGAGGGGGAUAACUACUGGAAACGGUAGCUAAUACCGCAUACCAUCGGAUGUGCCCAGAUGGGAUUAGCUAGUAGGUGGGGUAAAGGCUCACCUAGGCGACGAUCCCUAGCUGGUCUGAGAGGAUGGCCAGCCACACGGGAACUGAGACACGUUCCAGACUCCUACGGGAGGCAGCAGUGGGGAAUAUUGCACAAUGGGCGCAAGCCGGAUGCAGCCAUGCCGCGUGUAUGAAGAAGGCCUUCGGGUUGUAAAGUACUUUCAGCGGGGAGGCGUUACCCGCAGAAGAAGCACCGGCUAACUCCGUGCCAGCAGCCGCGGUAAUUC
RNAcentral lists this ribosomal RNA (406 nucleotides) under uncultured bacterium. RNAcentral describes it as "partial 16S ribosomal RNA". It matches the Rfam family "Bacterial small subunit ribosomal RNA", at positions 30 to 526 of the family's 1533-position model. The record is from RNAcentral.